GCCGGGGUGGCGGAAGUCGGUAGACGCAGGGGACUUAAAAUCCCUUGAGCUAACCCAUAGCUCGUGCGGGUUCGAGUCCCGCCCCCGGCA
RNAcentral lists this transfer RNA (90 nucleotides) under Candidatus Acetothermia bacterium. RNAcentral describes it as "tRNA-Leu". It matches the Rfam family "tRNA". From Rfam's summary of the family: Transfer RNA (tRNA) molecules are approximately 80 nucleotides in length. Lineage: Bacteria; Candidatus Bipolaricaulota. The record is from RNAcentral. RNAcentral also lists the same sequence under 1 other name.